CGCUUUCCACUCUCUUCUGUAGAUCUCCCUUCAUUCUCUCCCCCCUUCUCUCUGCAAACCCUAAGGCAUUCCAUUGCCACCACCAAACCCUAAAAACUCUCCUUAUAUUAGGGAUAAACCACCCUGAUUAAAGGAAAAAUAUCAUAUCGAGGGUUAAUCUCAAUAUUGCCGACAAUAACUUUUUGGAGUCUAAAAGCCCUAAUAUCAUGUCAAACUAUGGGUUAUGUACAAUCAGAGCUUGAUGCUAAGGAAAUAGAAAGCGACCCAACCUACCACGAAACCUAAAUCUAGGAAUGAAGCUAUGGAGGAGGAAGGGUUUGCUCUUCUUCUGAUUAGCUCAAAUAUGGUUCAGGGGUUUAAUGCAUCCGAUUGGCUCAAAAAAACCCUAAAGAAAUCCAAAACAUCAUCAAUAAUAAACCAACAUCUUCUGCUAAACCUCACAUACGAAGCUUCGUUGGUUCCCGAUUAGCUCUAUUGAAAACCUCGAUAUGUCCACGUUAUCAUUAUUUGAUGAUGAUGGUUCCCGAUUGCUUGUGAAAUUGAAGCUCCAUUGGAUGGAUAAGAAAAGGCGAAGACAUGGAUCAAGGUAUGCUUCUACAUCACAAGUGAUUCACAUCUGUGGUUAUUUUUCCUGAAAUUCUCAAUUCUUCUGCUCUUUUCAAUAGAAGGGGAAUCAAUUGCACAAAUUCCAGAGUGAACAGUACAUCCUAGCUCCGGUGACGCCAAACAACAGCUAAAUAAACUUGAUUUCGGCUCCACGGGUCGGGUCAAGCUGCUGGAGCUCUCGGAGAAAUGCCGGAGUGAAAUUGAUACGUUCCGUUUAGUCAAAGAUCCUCUAGAAUCAGGCAAGUGUACGAGCAUAGUGAUAAUCCCGGUUUCCGCUACUUUUUUUUUGCAGAUCUGGAUUUGAUGAAACGGUGAAUCAACAAAGAGCUCUGGAAGCACUUUCGAUCAUGAUUUCCGGUUUUUGAAAUUGAUUAGUGAGGAUGGAAACGAUCAAUUCGAGUGCUGUGCCAUAGAGAAUCCAUCGCUUCAUUUGAGGGUUUUUUGGAAGGUUAGAGAUGAUUUCCAUUGAAGCGACGCCUUCUUCAACUUUAUCGGAAGCUGGUAUGAUUCUCAACAAAGUCUCCACACAUUUAGGCCCAACGUGUUCCUGAAAUGUCUCGUCAUUCUCACUCCCGUCUUUUAUCAAACCACAUAACAGCUUCACGGCGAUCGGACGGCUGGGUUUUCGUGCUCGCAUAACUGAACCAGUACUUGAACCGAAGAGAUCUGAUGAUGAAAUUGAACGUAAAUGAGCACCGAUUGACGAUGUAAUCAAAGGAGAUAAACAGAAAAUUGGAAAACUCACCU
RNAcentral lists this long non-coding RNA (1353 nucleotides) under Lactuca sativa (garden lettuce). RNAcentral describes it as "long non-coding RNA (LSAT_LNC006696)". The record is from RNAcentral. Lineage: Eukaryota; Viridiplantae; Streptophyta; Magnoliopsida; Asterales; Asteraceae.